AUGACCACGCACCAUUCUUCAUCACUCACCUUAUCGUCUCCUUCGAGAUCGCGAUUUCAUCUCACUCAGCCUUACUCCGAUUUCUUUUUCGUUUGGCUUCGUCUCAGGUAUGCGUAUUUUUCGUUCUCGCCUCUGUCCUUUUCUACAUUUCUUUGUGUUGAGUUGUUUGCGAAUCAUGAUAUUGAUGUUCGUUGCAUAAAUUUGUGA
Vicia faba (fava bean) is the source of this 207-nucleotide non-coding RNA. The record is from the annotation of a GenBank genome assembly. NCBI's taxonomy places the organism in Eukaryota, Viridiplantae, Streptophyta, Magnoliopsida, Fabales, Fabaceae.